GCUUCUCGCUGAAGCCACACAGAGAGGAGUUUACGCCAAAGUCAUGCUCGGCAUCAGUGGACAGGUGAGAUCCAGCUUUAUCAGCAGCACUCCACGAAUGGCAAGGAAACGUUUAGCGAUGAGCCACUCCUCCAACCCAUCACUCAGCAGCGGAGAGAGUCAUGAUAUCACCCAGAGAUCACCUCCCGAGGGAAGUGUCAGCUGUGCGGAGCUGGGCAAAAGCAAAAUAUUGACGCAGGAAAACACUCUGCUUCAGGGACAAAACAUCAAGACGCUCCAUUAUAGGAAUAAAAGGAU
This 297-nucleotide long non-coding RNA is filed under the name Sinocyclocheilus anshuiensis. RNAcentral describes it as "lncRNA (ENSSANG00000037921.1)". The record is from RNAcentral. Lineage: Eukaryota; Metazoa; Chordata; Actinopteri; Cypriniformes; Cyprinidae.